RNAcentral lists this ribosomal RNA (497 nucleotides) under uncultured bacterium. RNAcentral's name for it is "partial 16S ribosomal RNA". It matches the Rfam family "Bacterial small subunit ribosomal RNA", at positions 28 to 507 of the family's 1533-position model. The record is from RNAcentral.
GAUGAACGCUGGCGGCGUGCCUAAUAUAUGCAAGUCGAGCGAACGGACGAGAAGCUUGCUUCUCUGAUGUUAGCGGCGGACGGGUGAGUAACACGUGGAUAACCUACCUAUAAGACUGGGAUAACUUCGGGAAACCGGAGCUAAUACCGGAUAAUAUUUUGAACCGCAUGGUUCAAAAGUGAAAGACGGUCUUGCUGUCACUUAUAGAUGGAUCCGCGCUGCAUUAGCUAGUUGGUAAGGUAACGGCUUACCAAGGCAACGAUGCAUAGCCGACCUGAGAGGGUGAUCGGCCACACUGGAACUGAGACACGGUCCAGACUCCUACGGGAGGCAGCAGUAGGGAAUCUUCCGCAAUGGGCGAAAGCCUGACGGAGCAACGCCGCGUGAGUGAUGAAGGUCUUCGGAUCGUAAAACUCUGUUAUUAGGGAAGAACAGAUGUGUAAGUAACUGUGCACAUCUUGACGGUACCUAAUCAGAAAGCCACGGCUAACUACGUG